RNAcentral lists this ribosomal RNA (440 nucleotides) under uncultured bacterium. Its description in RNAcentral is "partial 16S ribosomal RNA". It matches the Rfam family "Bacterial small subunit ribosomal RNA", at positions 338 to 795 of the family's 1533-position model. The record is from RNAcentral.
CCUACGGGAGGCAGCAGUAGGGAAUAUUGCUCAAUGGGGGAAACCCUGAAGCAGCAACGCCGCGUGGAGGAUGAAGGUCUUCGGAUUGUAAACUCCUUUUGUUAGAGAAGAUAAUGACGGUAUCUAACGAAUAAGCACUGGCUAACUCCGUGCCAGCAGCCGCGGUAAUACGGCGGGUGCAAGCGUUACUCGGAAUCACUGGGCGUAAAGAGCGCGUAGGCGGGAUAGCAAGUCAGAUGUGAAAUCCUAUGGCUUAACCAUAGAACUGCAUUUGAAACUGUUAUUCUAGAGUAUGGGAGAGGUAGGUGGAAUUCUUGGUGUAGCGGUAAAAUGCGUAGAGAUCAAGAAGAAUACUCAUUGCGAAGGCGACCUGCUAGAACGUAACUGACGCUGAUGCGCGAAAGCGUGGGGAGCAAACAGGAUUAGAUACCCCAGUAGUC